AGGACUUUUUUUUAAUUAGAAAAAAAAAUAGAUUUUAAAAAAUACGAGUUAGUGGAAGGAGGAGGCAGUUCUCACACUCAGAAUUGCAAGGGGUUUUCUGCAUUAAAGGCCUUUGCCUACUGUCUGCAUGCAAUUUUAGAUCUAACUCUGACUUUAACCAUUGGAUAAGAAUGAAUCAGCUAAAAUCUGAGCGGUGAAAUUAUUUCAGUUAGGGCAGAUCUCGAAGUCCAUUUUCAAUGACGUGUAUUUAAAUUUGUUUAGAAAGAUUCCCAGGGAUUUAGAUUUAGAGGCCUUGAAUUGUCAAGUACAAUAACACCGAAAAAUGAUAAUUAAAUAUAGGAGGUCAUGGUUUAGCUUGGCUCUAUCCCUGAGAUUCCUGUUUAGAAUGUAAAAAUAGAAUUAAAGAUCCAAUAUUUGAUGUAAACUUUUUUUUUUUUUAAAGUGACCCAAAAUGUAUAAUGUGGGCGAAGGAGUUCAUUAGAUUUGCUUUUAGGGUAGCCUGAUCUACUGAGUAGAUGCAGUUGUUGUCAGCAGUGUGAAACAUGUCUCCCUUCAUCUCUUCUUGAACUGUUCAAGAAGUCAAGUGUUUGCUCUGGAGCUGAUGGAAGAGCUCUGGGGCUAGGAGGAGCGGGUGAAAGGAGCGGGCCUGGCUGCUGAGUGUGUUCCUUCUUUUCUCUUUAAGCUGAUGAGCGCAGUUCAGAAAGGAAGGGUCUCUGGAAGCCGACUUGCCAUCCUGAUGAAAACUGCCGAGGAGAACUUGGACCGCAGAGUUCCAAUCCCCGUGGACCGUAGUUGUGGAGGAUUGUGAGUCUGACCAGUAAAUCCGCCACCAGCAAGCAUAGGACAGCCAGCGCUAUGUACAACCAGAGAUGACUUAAACUCUAAAAUAGUGGAUCUCGUAGCUGCCUUUUUUAAAACAAACAAACAAGGAAAAAAAAAAAAACAAAAUCAAAGAAAGGAAAGGGAUAAGCAAAUAAACAACACUGGAAAACAUUCCAAAACUUAAGAUGUUGGUGUGUUUGCCAACUUACUUUGCCAAUACUUUAUUUAUAUUUGCCACUCAGUCUGGCUUCUACAAAGCGCUUUUCUUAUUUUUUAGUGCGCACUGAUGUACUGUUUUGUAUCCAUUUUGUACCCUGUCAGACUUGACACUCUGCCUGCUCAUUCAUUCAUUCAAACUAGUUUUAGAGGCAGACCCCGUAUAGAUUGGAAUGAUGCUAGAAAGACUUUGUGAGCACCCAAGAGCUCAGGAGCUCGAGCCUGGAGAGAGCAUUCUUUCUUUUUUUUUCUAGAAAAUCAUUUGAUCUCUUGACCUGUUAAUAUUUUGGGAGACUUCUCAGCCCCGUCUUGCUACCCACCCCCUUCCGAUUAAAACUGCACACUUUUCUGUCUGGAGCAACUCUGGCUAAUCUGGAGAGGGAAGACAAAGUUUAGAUCUGGUUGAGAUUUGGUUACAUUUCUAAAAGAGAACCUCCAAAAGCUUCCAGAUUUGCAGGCGUAAGAUAAAGACAGCCCUGACAUUUGCCGGGAGGUACGGUGAUCGCUGCUUCUCAGCAGUUCAUUUUUUUUCCCCCAGGCACUGCUGGCUUCCUUUGACUAUUAUAGUUGCCAGAAAAAUCCUUGCUUUUUUUACUUUACAACCAGCAUUUGAGUGGCAAGUUGGAUAUAAUGGGAUGAGACCAAAUCUCUCCAUUCCUCCUGGGAGCAAUGAUGGGACACAAUUUCCAGUCCCACAAGUUCUGAAUCUUGUAGCGUGUAGCACUGUCAGGCCUGUUCUUGUCGGGGUGGGCAGUAGUGACGGUAUUUGCAAAGAGAUAAUAAAAAAGAACUGGGCAGACUUCCGUUAACUUUAAUUAUGAAAUUGAAAUAAGGCAUGCCACUUUAAUAUUGGAGGCUGGUCUGUUUGCCAAAGGCCCUUCUCUUUGUGUACUCACUGGAAAAACUCUCUUUCU
RNAcentral lists this long non-coding RNA (1952 nucleotides) under Mus musculus (house mouse). Its description in RNAcentral is "long non-coding RNA chr2:57366669-57368621". The record is from RNAcentral. Lineage: Eukaryota; Metazoa; Chordata; Mammalia; Rodentia; Muridae.